GACGAACGCUGGCGGCGUGCUUAACACAUGCAAGUCGAACGGUGAAGGGGUCUGCUUUUGUGGGCCCUGGAUGAGUGGCGAACGGGUGAGUAACACGUGAGUAACCUGCCCCCUUCUUCUGGAUAACCGCAUGAAAGUGUGGCUAAUACGGGAUAUUCUGGGUCUGUCGCAUGAUGGGUCUGGGAAAGAUUGCGCCUUUGGGUGUUUUUGGUGGGGGAUGGGCUCGCGGCCUAUCAGCUUGUUGGUGGGGUGAUGGCCUACCAAGGCGGUGACGGGUAGCCGGCCUGAGAGGGUGGACGGUCACACUGGGACUGAGACACGGCCCAGACUCCUACGGGAGGCAGCAGUGGGGAAUAUUGCACGAUGGGCGCAAGCCUGAUGCAGCGACGCCGCGUGAGGGAUGGAGGCCUUCGGGUUGUAAACCUCUUUCGCCAGUGAAGCAGGCCUGCUCCUUGUGGGUGGGUUGACGGUAGCUGGAUAAGAAGCGCCGGCUAACUACGUG
RNAcentral lists this ribosomal RNA (502 nucleotides) under uncultured bacterium. RNAcentral describes it as "partial 16S ribosomal RNA". It matches the Rfam family "Bacterial small subunit ribosomal RNA", at positions 28 to 507 of the family's 1533-position model. The record is from RNAcentral.